CUAAGACCCUGAUUGGACCAAUCAGAGACCUAGUUACUUUUAGAAAAUCAGUUUACCCCUAUCAGUAUAGGCAAGACAAAGAGGCCGUGCUGAGAACCGCACCUGGAGCUUUUCCUUGCCCUGCAGCUCCCAUGCUGUGUGGCAGCCCAACCCCUACUUCCUCUUGCCCUCUGCAAUAUUAUCAGUAAAACUUCUGCUUCACUUCCCUUUCCUUAUCUGAGUUUCUCACUCCGCCCGGGAUAGACUUUUGCUUCUGAGUCAGCCUCACUUUACCUCUUGCAUUCCUGCCAGGGUGAAGAGAUGAACAGGGAAGCAGAGGGUCUCUUCACAGAAGGACCCCAGCCUCCCAGACCACCGCCUACUGCAACAGAAGGAAAUCUGAAGACUAUUCCAUGACCUAAGAAAAUCAUAUGGAAUUCACAUUUCAGUGGCCAUAAAUAACAUCUUAGUGGAACCCAUUUGUUUGCUUAUGGUAGAAAAUGUUUGCUGAUUCCUGUAUUAAACACACUUGUCAGCAAUUGGCCUCCUCCUGAUGGAAGGGUGAGAGAACAUGGACCACAUUAGUCUCUAGCGCAGAUCACUGCUCAUCACUUCUGGGCAGCAGGUCAGGUCUUCACGUCAUCUCUUCUCACCAAGGGGCACCACAAAACGUCCAGAGCCUAGAAGAUGAAGGUGCCAACACUCUGUGUAAACUGGAAAGCUCUCAGAGGGUGAAAGGCGACUGAGUUGUGAUUUUUUGACUAUAAAAAGAGAGUACAAGC
This 761-nucleotide long non-coding RNA is filed under the name Chinchilla lanigera (long-tailed chinchilla). Its description in RNAcentral is "lncRNA (ENSCLAG00000022228.1)". The record is from RNAcentral. Lineage: Eukaryota; Metazoa; Chordata; Mammalia; Rodentia; Chinchillidae.